CCUACGGGAGACAGCAGUGAGGAAUAUUGGUCAAUGGGCGCGAGCCUGAACCAGCCAAGUAGCGUGAAGGAUGACUGCCCUACGGGUUGUAAACUUCUUUUAUAAAGGAAUAAAGUGAGGCACGUGUGCCUUUUUGUAUGUACUUUAUGAAUAAGGAUCGGCUAACUCCGUGCCAGCAGCCGCGGUAAUACGGAGGAUCCGAGCGUUAUCCGGAUUUAUUGGGUUUAAAGGGAGCGUAGAUGGGUUGUUAAGUCAGUUGUGAAAGUUUUCGGCUCAACCGUAAAAUUGCAAUUGAUACUGGCAGUCUAGAGUACAGUUGAGGUAGGCGGAAUUCGUGGUGUAGCGGUGAAAUGCUUAGAUAUCACGAAGAACUCCGAUUGCGAAGGCAGCUUACUAAACUGCCACUGACAUUGAUGCUCGAAAGUAUGGGUAGCAAACAGGAGUAGAUACCCCUGUAGUC
RNAcentral lists this ribosomal RNA (460 nucleotides) under uncultured bacterium. RNAcentral describes it as "partial 16S ribosomal RNA". It matches the Rfam family "Bacterial small subunit ribosomal RNA", at positions 338 to 795 of the family's 1533-position model. The record is from RNAcentral.